UACGGAAGGCAGCAGUGGGGAAUAUUGCACAAUGGGCGCAAGCCUGAUGCAGCCAUGCCGCGUGUAUGAAGAAGGCCUUCGGGUUGUAAAGUACUUUCAGCGGGGAGGAAGGCGGUGGAGUUAAUAGCUUCACCGAUUGACGUUACCCGCAGAAGAAGCACCGGCUAACUCCGUGCCAGCAGCCGCGGUAAUACGGAGGGUGCAAGCGUUAAUCGGAAUUACUGGGCGUAAAGCGCACGCAGGCGGUCUGUCAAGUCGGAUGUGAAAUCCCCGGGCUUAACCUGGGAACUGCAUUCGAAACUGGCAGGCUAGAGUCUUGUAGAGGGGGUAGAAUUCCAGGUGUAGCGGUGAAAUGCGUAGAGAUCUGGAGGAAUCCGGUGGCGAAGGCGGCCCCUGGGACAAAGCUGACGCUCAGGGUGCGAAAGCGUGGGGAGCAAACGAGGGAUUAGGAUA
This 453-nucleotide ribosomal RNA is filed under the name uncultured bacterium. RNAcentral's name for it is "bacterial SSU rRNA". It matches the Rfam family "Bacterial small subunit ribosomal RNA", at positions 340 to 784 of the family's 1533-position model. The record is from RNAcentral.